AUGCCAGAACCUGCGGUGGCCUCGUGCCCCCCACCUCAGUGCUUUGGUGGGUUCUGCCCGGGAGCUCCUGCACUCCAGAACCUUCCAUGGCUUCACACCCCCCACCUCAGCGCUUCGGCGGGCUCUGCCCAGGGGCUCCUGCACUCCAGAACCUUCUGUGGCCUUGCACCCCCCACCUCAGCACCUUGGCGGGCUCUGCCCGGGGACUCCUGCACUCCAGAACCUUCCAUGGCCUUGUGCCCCCCCCCCCCAACCGCCUCAGCAGGGUCUGCCCAGGGUCUCCCUCACCCAGAACCCUCCAUGGCCUCGUGCCCCCCACCUCGGCCAGAGCCUGCCAAGGGGCCCCUCGUGCCCAUGCACCAGAACCUUCUGUGGCCUCGCACCCAUGUGUCAGUGAGGCCUGCCCAGGGGCCAGAACCUUCCAUGGGCCCUCACCUCAGCUGGGGUCUGCCCCAGGGCUCCCAUGUGCCAGAACCUUCUGUGGCCUCGUGCCCGUGCCUGAGCCACGGUCUGCUGAGGGGCUCCUCGCUCUGCACGCCAGAACCUUCCGUGGCCUCACGCCCGCGCCUCAGCACCUCARCGGGGUCUGCCCGGGGGCUCCCUCAUGCCAGAACCUUCCGUGGCCUUGCGCCUGCACCUCAGCACCUCAGCGGGGUCUGCCCGGGGCCUCCCCCGUGCCAGAACCUUCCGUGGCCUCGCGCCCAUGCCUCAGCACCUCAGCGGGGUCUGCCCGGGGGCUCCCCUGUGCCAGAACCUUCCGUGGCCUCGCGCCCGUGCCUCAGCACCUCAGCGGGGUCUGCCCGGGGGCUCCCACACUCCAGAACCUUCCGUGGCCUCGCGCCCGCGCCUCAGCACCUCAGCAGGGUCUGCCCGGGGGCUCCCACACUCCAGAACCUUCCGUGGCCUCGCGCCCGCGCCUCGGCACCUCAGCGGGGUCUGCCCGGGGGCUCCCACACUCCAGAACCUUCCGUGGCCUCGCGCCCGCGCCUUGGCGGGGUCUGUGCUGCGGGGCUGUCCGCCCUCUGCUGCCCUGCGAAGCCUCGAGGCACACAAAAGGGGUGCAUUUAA
This 1068-nucleotide long non-coding RNA is filed under the name Apteryx haastii (Great spotted kiwi). RNAcentral describes it as "lncRNA (ENSAHAG00000019380.1)". Lineage: Eukaryota; Metazoa; Chordata; Aves; Apterygiformes; Apterygidae. The record is from RNAcentral.